GGGGUUGUAGUUAAGAUUGGUUAUAACGCCGGCCUGUCAAGCCGGAGGCCGCGGGUUCAAGUCCCGUCAACCCCGCCA
Molecule: transfer RNA, 78 nt
Filed under: bacterium
Lineage: Bacteria
Also listed under: 2 other names
Description: tRNA-Asp
Rfam family: tRNA
About the family: Transfer RNA (tRNA) molecules are approximately 80 nucleotides in length. Their secondary structure includes four short double-helical elements and three loops (D, anti-codon, and T loops). Further hydrogen bonds mediate the characteristic L-shaped molecular structure. tRNAs have two regions of fundamental functional importance: the anti-codon, which is responsible for specific mRNA codon recognition, and the 3' end, to which the tRNAs corresponding amino acid is attached (by aminoacyl-tRNA synthetases). tRNAs cope with the degeneracy of the genetic code in two manners: having more than one tRNA (with a specific anti-codon) for a particular amino acid; and 'wobble' base-pairing, i.e. permitting non-standard base-pairing at the 3rd anti-codon position.
Source: RNAcentral